This 253-nucleotide ribosomal RNA is filed under the name uncultured bacterium. RNAcentral's name for it is "partial 16S ribosomal RNA". It matches the Rfam family "Bacterial small subunit ribosomal RNA", at positions 524 to 776 of the family's 1533-position model. The record is from RNAcentral.
UACGAAGGGAGCUAGCGUUGUUCGGAAUUACUGGGCGUAAAGGGCGCGUAGGCGGCCAUUUAAGUCAGAUGUGAAAGCCUUGGGCUUAACCUGAGAACUGCAUUUGAUACUGAAAGGCUAGAAAUCGAGAGAGGAAAGUGGAAUUGCGAGUGUAGAGGUGAAAUUCGUAGAUAUUCGCAAGAACACCAGUGGCGAAGGCGGCUUUCUGGCUCGAUAUUGACGCUAAGGCGCGAAAGCGUGGGGAGCAAACAGG